ACGGGGGGUGCAAGCGUUAUUCGGAAUUAUUGGGCGUAAAGGGCGCGUAGGCGGUCUCUAAAGUCAGAUGUGAAAGCCCGGGGCUUAACCCCGGAAGUGCAUUUGAAACUCAGGGACUUGAGUAUGGGAGAGGGAAGUGGAAUUCCUGGUGUAGCGGUGAAAUGCGUAGAUAUCAGGAGGAACACCAGUGGCGAAGGCGACUUCCUGGACCAAUACUGACGCUAAGGCGCGAAGGCGUGGGGAGCAAACAGG
Molecule: ribosomal RNA, 252 nt
Filed under: uncultured bacterium
Lineage: Bacteria
Description: partial 16S ribosomal RNA
Rfam family: Bacterial small subunit ribosomal RNA
Source: RNAcentral